RNAcentral lists this ribosomal RNA (373 nucleotides) under uncultured bacterium. Its description in RNAcentral is "bacterial SSU rRNA". It matches the Rfam family "Bacterial small subunit ribosomal RNA", at positions 523 to 898 of the family's 1533-position model. The record is from RNAcentral.
AUACGGAGGGUGCAAGCGUUAUCCGGAUUUAUUGGGUUUAAAGGGUGCGUAGGCGGUACGUUAAGUCAGUGGUGAAAUUUUUCGGCUCAACCGGAACAUUGCCGUUGAUACUGGCGUGCUAGAAUAUGGUUGCUGUGAGUAGAAUGUGUGGUGUAGCGGUGAAAUGCAUAGAUAUCACACAGAAUACCGAUUGCGAAGGCAUCUCACAAAGCCAUUAUUGACGCUGAGGCACGAAAGUGUGGGGAUCAAACAGGAUUAGAUACCCUGGUAGUCCACACUGUAAACGAUGAUAACUAGCUGUUGGCGAUAUACCGUCAGUGGUCAAGCGAAAGCGAUAAGUUAUCCACCUGGGGAGUACGACCGCAAGGUUGAA